This is a long non-coding RNA of Aegilops tauschii subsp. strangulata, 1675 nucleotides long. RefSeq lists it as uncharacterized. NCBI's taxonomy places the organism in Eukaryota, Viridiplantae, Streptophyta, Magnoliopsida, Poales, Poaceae. The record is from RefSeq and is a predicted model, not a curated record.
GCCAAUUUCAUUGCUCUGCAGCUUCUGUGGGCAAAGCCUCGCACCCAUGCAUUAGCUGUUUAACAACUGACGAAGCAGAUAGGAGUAGUUCAAAAUUUUCAAUCCAAGUUUUUGCUAUCUCAGGCUUCUCAUCUGCUGUCUGCUGUUAAGGUGGUGCCAAGAUCUUGAACCGAUGGGUUAGAUUCAUCAGAUUUGCAGCUGAUGAAGAUUUAUCCCGAGUAAUUCUCAGCAUAUGAAGAUUUAUUAAGUUCCGCUGCUGCUUUUCUCUCUCGGUCUUGGGCGGAGGAAUUCAUCAUGAGUACUAGUCACCAGUUGAUGAUUGGUUAAGUUUGCUGCUGCUUUUCUUUCUUGGUCUUUCAAAGAUCAUGAGUUCUGUUCGAUCCACGGUGGUGCUGAGAUCUUGAACCGACGGGUUAGACUGAUGGAAUUUGCAGAGCAGAUCUUCUCUCUUGGUCUCCAAGGAGUAUUUCAUCCUGAGUAGUUCUCCUCAGUUGAACAUUGAUUUGAGUCUUUCGGUUGCUUCUCCCUCGCUCUCUCUCAUGGUCUUAAACGAGGAAUUCAUCACGUCUCCCCAAUAGAUGAAGAUUGGAUCGUGCACUCUUUAGUUGGUUCACUUGGCUGCUGCUGUCUGAAGCUUCUGGGUGCAAAGCCUCCUACUCCUGCAGUCGUAUCUUGCAUUUCUGCUCCGGUUUUGGGGUGGAUAUCAGCAGCCAUAGUAGAAGGAAAAGAUUGGAGUACUUCGGAAAUUUCAGUGUAAUACUUGUGUUUCGGCAAGCUGCUGUUAUCGGCCGUCAAGGGGGUUAGGCGAGAGAUCUUCCGACCAAUGGGUUAGACUGGUUGAAUUUGAUCGAGUCCUCACCGGUUGAGAUUGAUUGAUUUAAUUUGCAAUAGAUUUUCUCCAUUGGUCAUUAGCAGAGGAAUUCGUCAUGCGUAGUCCUCUUCCAUGGGUAAUACUCUUUGUGCAUCUUACGUUCACAAUUAAAUAGCUAGGAAUAAUUCUGUUGAGCCUGUCAUGGUUGUGUAUGGCAUUUUUUUUACAUAACCGUGAAUCGUGCAUGAUAUAGAGCUAUUAGAGCGUUAUAUGUUGUUUUCUUCCUGAUUGGAGCUACUAGAGCGUUAUAACUGACCACUAGGGAACACCGUACCCCACCAACAAUUAGUGUCAUUAAUGGAAGCAAAGCUGACAAAAGUAAGUUCUAACUCCAUGUCUGCUGCUCAAGAAGAUAUACAACCAGAAGGUGCAAGAAAUAAAGCUGACAAAAUUAAGUCAUAAAUACUUCCUCCGUCCCAUAAUAUAAGAGUGUUUUUCGCACUAGUAUAGUGUAAAAAAUGUUUCUUAUAUUAUGGGACGGAGGGAGUAGAAGCAAAGCUUCCUAAUAAGCAACUCAAUAUAAUAUGAGGCUCUGGUUAAAUAGAUCACAAGCAAAGUUCUAGAUCAUGGGCGAAAAGUGAGCAAUCGCGGCGCAAUCGCGGCCUGGAGGCCUCCCCGCUAAUUGCGACGCAAUGCCUUAAAAAACGCUAACUGCCGCUAAUUGCACGAUCGCCCGCGAAACGGCGCGAUUUGACUUUGCGUUCGCUUCAGUUUCGCUGGGAUGGGGCGGAGUUCUGAAAGAGAGGCCCAAAUAGCGGUCAGCCCAAAUGCUUGCGGAUAGAUAGCACUUCCUCCACGAAACAU